Molecule: ribosomal RNA, 497 nt
Filed under: uncultured bacterium
Lineage: Bacteria
Description: partial 16S ribosomal RNA
Rfam family: Bacterial small subunit ribosomal RNA
Source: RNAcentral
GAUGAACGCUGGCGGCGUGCCUAAUACAUGCAAGUCGAGCGAACGGGCGAGAAGCUUGCUUCUCUGAUGUUAGCGGCGGACGGGUGAGUAACACGUGGAUAACCUACCUAUAAGACUGGGAUAACUGCGGGAAACCGGAGCUAAUACCGGAUGAUAUUUUGAACCGCAUGGUUCAAAAGUGAAAGACGGUCUUGCCGUCACUUAUAGAUGGAUCCGCGCUGCAUUAGCUAGUUGGUAAGGUAACGGCUUACCAAGGCAACGAUGCAUAGCCGACCUGAGAGGGUGAUCGGCCACACUGGAACUGAGACACGGUCCAAACUCCUACGGGAGGCAGCAGUAGGGAAUCUUCCGCAAUGGGCGCAAGCCUGACGGAGCAACGCCGCGUGAGUGAUGAAGGUCUUCGGAUCGUAAAACUCUGUUAUUAGGGAAGAACAUAUGUGUAAGUAACUGUGCACAUCUUGACGGUACCUAAUCAGAAAGCCACGGCUAACUACGUG